UACGUAGGGGGGCAAGCGUUGUCCGGAAUCAUUGGGCGUAAAGCGCGUGUAGGCGGCCCGGUAAGUCCGCUGUGAAAGUCGGGGGCUCAACCCUCGGAUGCCGGUGGAUACUGUCGGGCUAGAGUGCGGGAGAGGCGAGUGGAAUUCCUGGUGUAGCGGUGAAAUGCGCAGAUAUCAGGAGGAACACCAAUUGCGAAGGCAGCUCGCUGGGACGUUACUGACGCUGAGAACGCGAAAAGCGUGGGGAGCAAACAGG
This 256-nucleotide ribosomal RNA is filed under the name uncultured bacterium. RNAcentral describes it as "partial 16S ribosomal RNA". It matches the Rfam family "Bacterial small subunit ribosomal RNA", at positions 524 to 776 of the family's 1533-position model. The record is from RNAcentral.